RNAcentral lists this unclassified non-coding RNA (225 nucleotides) under Staphylococcus lutrae. RNAcentral describes it as "16S-23S ribosomal RNA intergenic spacer". Lineage: Bacteria; Bacillati; Bacillota; Bacilli; Caryophanales; Staphylococcaceae. The record is from RNAcentral.
AAGGAUAAUUACGGAAUAUCACCAAYAGGUGAUAGCGGAUUAACGUGACAUAUUGUAUUCAGUUUUGAAUGCUCAUCCAUUUGAGGAUUCAGAAUGAUUUGUACAUUGAAAACUAGAUAAGUAAGUAUUGAUUUUACCAAGCAAAACCGAGUGACAAGCGUUUAAAAGCUUGAAACAAAAAAUGAAUCGCUAGUCGUUGAAAAACGACUCACAUAAUUAAUAACA